CUACGGGGGGCACCAGGCGAGAAAACUUUGCAAUGUGCGAAAGCACGACAAGGUUAAUCCGAGUGGUUUGUGCUAAACGAACCUUUUGACAGUCCUAGAAACACUGUUGAAUAAGGGGUGGGCAAGUUCUGGUGUCGGCCGCCGCGGUAAAACCAGCACCUCAAGUGGUCAGGAUGAUUAUUGGGCCUAAAGCAUCCGUAGCCGGCUCUGUAAGUUUUCGGUUAAAUCUGUACGCUCAACGUACAGGCUGCCGGGAAUACUGCAGAGCUAGGGAGUGGGAGAGGUAGACGGUACUCGGUAGGAAGGGGUAAAAUCCUUUGAUCUAUUGAUGACCACCUGUGGCGAAGGCGGUCUACCAGAACACGUCCGACGGUGAGGGAUGAAAGCUGGGGGAGCAAACCGGAUUAGAUACCCUUGUAGUC
Molecule: ribosomal RNA, 422 nt
Filed under: uncultured archaeon
Lineage: Archaea
Description: partial 16S ribosomal RNA
Rfam family: Archaeal small subunit ribosomal RNA
Source: RNAcentral